AGCACUGGCUGACGCCCCGGAAGCACUGGCUGGCACCGAGAAAGCCAAAAAGCCGGUGGGACGGAGCUACCCGCCCCCCAGUAAGAAGGGGAUCAGGACGCAGGGAAACAGCCCAAGUGGCAGGACGGGUGUCACUGCCACACAAAGCCCAGCAGGCCAAAAAACUCUCACUCCAGAGUUAGGCAGACAGAACGUCAGUUAGAGAGCCACCAGGAACGCUCCAGCCCGGUGGGCGGAAGGGAAGCCGCCAUUACAGAAACCGGCCUAAUUUUCCUGAGGAGAGCAGUCCACAUGUGCGGUGACCUGCUGACACUUGGCAGGUGAACAUGCACAGUUUAUUUACUGGGGUUGUACAGAUGUUCACCUGAGGUUUUCUUCCCUUUUCCAGUGGAAUGCCCCUGUACUUGAACUGAGGAUAGUCAUCCCUGAACAGCCUCUGAAUUCCUGUACAUUAAUAAGCCACCAACUAAACACAGGAUUUGGGAUUUGAUUAAUGAAGCCUGGAUCUUAUGCCUAACUCUGGAACUAGGGUGCACGUCAUGUUUAAAAGAACUAUGUAAACUGAAGGUGAGAAAUGGGGAUUCUUGAGGGAAAAUGAGAAUCCUGUUAUCAGCAAAACAAUAAAUGUUUGCACAUCCAGCAAAAACAAAGGAUUUAGUUUAUUCUUGACAAGUGAUACAAUAGUAUAUAAAUGCUCAUAGUUAUUGUACUAGGAAAGAGCUGUGUGAGUUUGAAAAUGCUACAUUAAUUCACCUAUUUCUUCAGAAAUGUAAGUGCUUCUCCCUUAUCAAUAUCAUCCCAGUCCUGUGGGUUUCUGUCAUUUCACAAUGCCCUUUCUAUGUUAGUCCUUUUUUACAUCACUCUAAAGAAAUACCUGAGGCUAGGUAAUUAUAUUAUAAAGACGAUAGAUUUAAUUUGCUCUAAUUCUGUACUCUGUACAAGCAUGGCACUGCCAUCUGCUCUGCUUCUUGCAUGAACUGAGUGAGAACCCAUUCACGACCGAAAGGAUGGUGUUAAACUGUUCAUGAGAGAUCCACAUCUAUAAAUCAGUAACUCCCACUUAGGCCCCACCUCCAACACUAGAGAUCACAUCUCAACAUGAGAUUUGGAGAGGACAAACAUUCAAACCACAUUGCCUUCUCUCUUCCUUGGCAGUUGUAUGCUAUCUAGACAGAAAAGUUCAAAUUGGCAUCCCUCAUCUAAUUCUCUAGAUAGAAAAUGGGUUUUGUGGGGCUGCAAUUUAUGAAUAAGUAAUUUUAAUUGAAUGCAGAAAACAUUCAGUUAUCUACUUAGAAUACCUUAAGCAGUAGGCACUCUGUCGUGUAUUACAUUAAGUAUAAACAUUAUUAAACCCCAGUUCCUGACUUUAUAGUAUAAAAGGUAACGUGAAGAGGAGCAAGCAACUCUUUGAAAUUCUGAAAAAUAAGAAUAACAGAUACAGUUAAAGAGCUGUACUAUCACUAGCACUGCAGCCAGCCUGAUUUUUUUCUUCAAAAUUAUAUACAGGCAUCCAUGAUUAAAAUACACAAAAUUCGAAAUGCUCCAAAGUCAAAACUUUUUUGGUAUCAACAUGACACUCCAAAGAAAUGCUUAUUGGAGCAUUUAUGAUUUCCAGUUUUCAGACUAGGGAUGCUAAGUAUAAUGCAAAUCUUUCAAAAUCUGAAAGAGUCAAAAAUCUAAAACAGGCUCCAAGCAUUUCAGAUAAGGGUUUCUCAAUCUGUAUAAAUUUAUUGUAUAUAUUAAAAAGUAAACUAGUUGUUGUUAUAGUACAACAUAAUCUAAAUAGUUAUAAAUUUUUAAGUAGACAAGGAAACCUAGAAAUACACUGAAAUAUUGUUGUGGAUGUAAUAGAUGAUAAAUGAAUUCAAAAUUAAACAUAUUUAAAAUCAGUGUAUAGAAUCAUCUGGAAAACAGACCAAAUAGUUGAAACAAUGUCUCCAAAAUUAUAAAUGCACACAAAUUUUGCCUCUGGUAUUUCAUAUACAGAAAUUUUC
Long non-coding RNA from Callithrix jacchus (white-tufted-ear marmoset), 1994 nucleotides. RefSeq lists it as uncharacterized. The record is from RefSeq and is a predicted model, not a curated record. NCBI's taxonomy places the organism in Eukaryota, Metazoa, Chordata, Mammalia, Primates, Cebidae.